Molecule: unclassified non-coding RNA, 348 nt
Filed under: soil metagenome
Description: partial contains 5.8S ribosomal RNA, internal transcribed spacer 2, and large subunit ribosomal RNA
Rfam family: 5.8S ribosomal RNA (bases 1-120)
Source: RNAcentral
GAUGAAGAACGCAGUGAAAUGCGAUACGUAGUGUGAAUUGCAGAAUUCAGUGAAUCAUCGAAUCUUUGAACGCACAUUGCGCCCGCUGGUAUUCCGGCGGGCAUGCCUGUUCGAGCGUCAUUUCAACCCUCAAGCCCCCGGGUUUGGUGUUGGGGAUCGGCUCUGCCCUUCUGGGCGGUGCCGCCCCCGAAAUACAUUGGCGGUCUCGCUGCAGCCUCCAUUGCGUAGUAGCUAACACCUCGCAACUGGAACGCGGCGCGGCCAUGCCGUAAAACCCCAACUUCUGAAUGUUGACCUCGGAUCAGGUAGGAAUACCCGCUGAACUUAAGCAUAUCAAUAAGCGGAGGA